Molecule: ribosomal RNA, 448 nt
Filed under: Pseudomonas sp. PDM29
Lineage: Bacteria; Pseudomonadati; Pseudomonadota; Gammaproteobacteria; Pseudomonadales; Pseudomonadaceae
Description: partial 23S ribosomal RNA
Rfam family: Bacterial large subunit ribosomal RNA
Source: RNAcentral
AAUCAACCGAGAUUCCCUUAGUAGUGGCGAGCGAACGGGGACUAGCCCUUAAGUGGCUUUGAGAUUAGCGGAACGCUCUGGAAAGUGCGGCCAUAGUGGGUGAUAGCCCUGUACGCGAAAAUCUCUUGGUCAUGAAAUCGAGUAGGACGGAGCACGAGAAACUUUGUCUGAAUAUGGGGGGACCAUCCUCCAAGGCUAAAUACUACUGACUGACCGAUAGUGAACUAGUACCGUGAGGGAAAGGCGAAAAGAACCCCGGAGAGGGGAGUGAAAUAGAUCCUGAAACCGUAUGCGUACAAGCAGUGGGAGCCUACUUUGUUAGGUGACUGCGUACCUUUUGUAUAAUGGGUCAGCGACUUAUUUUCAGUGGCGAGCUUAACCGAAUAGGGGAGGCGUAGCGAAAGCGAGUCUUAAUAGGGCGUCUAGUCGCUGGGAAUAGACCCGAAAC